UACAGAGGGCUCAAGCGUUGUUCGGAUUCAUUGGGCGUAAAGGGUGCGUAGGCGGCUCGGUAAGUCGGGUGUGAAAUCUUGGAGCUUAACUCCGAAACUGCAUUCGAUACUGCCGUGCUUGAGGACUGGAGAGGAGACUGGAAUUUACGGUGUAGCGGUGAAAUGCGUAGAUAUCGUAAGGAAGACCAGUGGCGAAGGCGGGUCUCUGGACAGUUCCUGACGCUGAGGCACGAAGGCCAGGGGAGCAAACGGG
This 253-nucleotide ribosomal RNA is filed under the name uncultured bacterium. RNAcentral describes it as "partial 16S ribosomal RNA". It matches the Rfam family "Bacterial small subunit ribosomal RNA", at positions 524 to 776 of the family's 1533-position model. The record is from RNAcentral.